Molecule: long non-coding RNA, 442 nt
Filed under: Physcomitrium patens
Lineage: Eukaryota; Viridiplantae; Streptophyta; Bryopsida; Funariales; Funariaceae
Description: long non-coding RNA (PPAT_LNC008541)
Source: RNAcentral
CAAAUCCUUCAUCGAUUAAAAAGGAAAAGAAAAGAAAAAAAACACCAGCCUAAAAUCCUCUGUGGUUUCCGUGGGUUGAAAUUUAAAGCUGGGAAGAUGCGGAGUCGUAACAAGAACCACAUCACCAACCACGAGUUUGAGGUGUGUACACCUUCAGAACACAUAGCUGGUCACAAGCAGCCUCAGCUUUCUUCAACUACGGACUGGUCAACAACCUCUUACUACUUUGGAUCGCAUUCUGUAGACAACCCUUGUAAGAGUAAUGUCAGUGGCGUGAAAUGUGUCUAACCAGAACGGGUGGCUAAUAAUGAAUCAACUUUACGACCGAUUCUGGCGUUGUUAACGGAACACCGCCGACACACCAAUGUUUUCUGAUAUGAUAAUGAGGAGCGGUGCUAUUCACAUACCAAUUAAUCCAAUUCGAACGAAUUAACAAUGCUAA